RNAcentral lists this ribosomal RNA (538 nucleotides) under uncultured delta proteobacterium. RNAcentral's name for it is "bacterial SSU rRNA". It matches the Rfam family "Bacterial small subunit ribosomal RNA", at positions 9 to 523 of the family's 1533-position model. Lineage: Bacteria; Deltaproteobacteria. The record is from RNAcentral.
GAGUUUGAUCCUGGCUCAGAAUUAACGCUGGCGGCAUGCCUAACACAUGCAAGUCGAACGAGAAACCCCGGUUCGCCGGGGGAGUAAAGUGGCGCACGGGUGAGUAACGCGUGGGUAAUCUACCUCGGUCUGGGGGAUAACGCAUCGAAAGGUGCGCUAAUACCGCAUAAUCCGACGGACUUUCGGGUCUUUCGGCAAAGAUGGCCUCUACAUGUAAGCUGUCGAAUCGAGAUGAGCCCGCGUCCCAUUAGCUAGUUGGUAGGGUAAAAGCCUACCAAGGCGACGAUGGGUAGCUGGUCUGAGAGGACGAUCAGCCACACUGGAACUGGUACACGGUCCAGACUCCUACGGGAGGCAGCAGUGAGGAAUAUUGCGCAAUGGGGGAAACCCUGACGCAGCGAUGCCGCGUGGGUGAAGAAGGCCUUCGGGUCGUAAAGCCCUGUCGGGUGGGAAGAACAGUCUGGGAGUUAAUACCUCUCAGGUUUGACGGUACCACUAAAGGAAGCACCGGCUAACUCCGUGCCAGCAGCCGCGGUAA